UCACUGGACAGUCAUUUCAUGUCUCUGAGC
This 30-nucleotide non-coding RNA is filed under the name Mus musculus (house mouse). Lineage: Eukaryota; Metazoa; Chordata; Mammalia; Rodentia; Muridae. The record is from RNAcentral.